AUCAGGAGUAAGAAUAACAGGAUCAUCUUG
This 30-nucleotide non-coding RNA is filed under the name Mus musculus (house mouse). The record is from RNAcentral. Lineage: Eukaryota; Metazoa; Chordata; Mammalia; Rodentia; Muridae.